Molecule: ribosomal RNA, 623 nt
Filed under: uncultured archaeon
Lineage: Archaea
Description: bacterial SSU rRNA
Rfam family: Archaeal small subunit ribosomal RNA
Source: RNAcentral
UGGGCAUAAUGCGGUAUAGGCAACGGGUACUGGAAUGUCCCAUUGCUCAAAUGGACGCACACCAUGUGCUGCUCCGCUCAAGGACGAGCCUGCGGUGGAUUAGGCUGUUGGCGGGGUAAUUGCCCACCAAACCUGUGAUCCAUACGGGCCUUGGAAGAGGGAGCCCGGAGAAGGACACUGAGAUAAGGGUCCUAGCCCUACGGGGUGCAGCAGUCGCGAAACCUUUACAAUACACGAAAGUGUGAUAGGGGGACUUCGAGUGUGCCCACUGGGCACUUUUGCCAUGUGCAAAAAGCUUGGCGAAUAAGUGGAGGGCAAGAUACGUGCCAGCCGCCGCGGUAAUACGUACUCCACAAGUGGUAUCCGGUUAUAUUGGGCCUAAAACGUCUGUAGCCUGUUUGGUGAGUCCUUGGUGAAAUCGUCCCGCUUAACGGAAUGAAUUGCCAAGGAUACUACCAGGCUCGGGGAUGGGAGAGGUUACGGGAAUGCUCGGGGUAGCGGUGAAAUGUUAUGAUCCCGAGUAGACCACCAGUAGCGAAGGCGCGUAACCAGAACAGUCCCGACGGUGAGAGACGAAAGCUGGGGGAGCGACCCGGAUUAGAUACCCGGUUAGUCCCAGCCGU